AGUGAACGCUGGCGGUAGGCCUAACACACGCAAGUCGAACGGCAGCACAGUAAGAGCUUGCUCUUACGGGUGGCGAGUGGCGGACGGGUGAGGAAUACAUCGGAAUCUACUUUUUCGUGGGGGAUAACGUAGGGAAACUUACGCUAAUACCGCAUACGACCUACGGGUGAAAGCAGGGGAUCUUCGGACCUUGCGCGAUUGAAUGAGCCGAUGUCGGAUUAGCUAGUUGGCGGGGUAAAGGCCCACCAAGGCGACGAUCCGUAGCUGGUCUGAGAGGAUGAUCAGCCACACUGGAACUGAGACACGGUCCAGACUCCUACGGGAGGCAGCAGUGGGGAAUUUUGGACAAUGGGCGCAAGCCUGAUCCAGCCAUACCGCGUGGGUGAAGAAGGCCUUCGGGUUGUAAAGCCCUUUUGUUGGGAAAGAAAAGCAGCAGGUUAAUACCCCGCUGUUCUGACGGUACCCAAAGAAUAAGCACCGGCUAACUUCGUG
Molecule: ribosomal RNA, 492 nt
Filed under: uncultured bacterium
Lineage: Bacteria
Description: partial 16S ribosomal RNA
Rfam family: Bacterial small subunit ribosomal RNA
Source: RNAcentral